Molecule: ribosomal RNA, 426 nt
Filed under: uncultured bacterium
Lineage: Bacteria
Description: bacterial SSU rRNA
Rfam family: Bacterial small subunit ribosomal RNA
Source: RNAcentral
UGGGGAAUUUUGGACAAUGGGCGCAAGCCUGAUCCAGCCAUGCCGCGUGCAGGAUGAAGGCCUUCGGGUUGUAAACUGCUUUUGUACGGAACGAAAAGUCUCUUUCUAAUAAAGAGGGACCAUGACGGUACCGUAAGAAUAAGCACCGGCUAACUACGUGCCAGCAGCCGCGGUAAUACGUAGGGUGCAAGCGUUAAUCGGAAUUACUGGGCGUAAAGCGUGCGCAGGCGGUGAUGUAAGACAGUUGUGAAAUCCCCGGGCUCAACCUGGGAACUGCAUCUGUGACUGCAUCGCUGGAGUGCGGCAGAGGGGGAUGGAAUUCCGCGUGUAGCAGUGAAAUGCGUAGAUAUGCGGAGGAACACCGAUGGCGAAGGCAAUCCCCUGGGCCUGCACUGACGCUCAUGCACGAAAGCGUGGGGAGCAAAC